This 1450-nucleotide long non-coding RNA is filed under the name Anser brachyrhynchus (Pink-footed goose). RNAcentral describes it as "lncRNA (ENSABRG00000020049.1)". The record is from RNAcentral. Lineage: Eukaryota; Metazoa; Chordata; Aves; Anseriformes; Anatidae.
GGAGGUGCUGGCGAAGGCAGUGGAAAUCAGCUGAGUCUUAUUUUGACUUCAGCUGAGCUCGACUGAUGGAAAGUUAUAAAGAAGUUCGUCAUAAAGCAGCAGUAAGGACUUCACUGUUAAGCUUGUUUUCCCAUUUUCUGUCUGGAAGUUGGAGGGAUUUGAAACUCAUCCAGGGAUUUGAAACUUCAGCAGUUUCUCUUCUUAUAUACUCGAACCAGGCAAAGGAAAUUUUCAGGCUGUAUUAUGACCUUAAUACUUCCAUGCAGCCCAUUAUCUGCUCAUUAUUGAGCUAUAAUAAACAUGGAGUCCUUGAAGUACUUUUUUCUUCCCAAAUCUCUUUAAGAAAGAACACUCGCAAUAUCGAAUCAAGGACAUAUUGUCAAACGGAAUCAUUUCAGGAUGAGAUCACUCAAGUGUAUAUAAAUAGCACAGACAAGACCUAAACCUGAGAUAAGAUCACCUUGAAAGAAGCAGUAUUCUUGUGGAGAAGUUGUACCUGGAGGGGAAGAACAUCCAGGCUUUCCCAGAAUUUCAGCCCGUGCUGACAAGCUGCGAAUUUGGGGUGUGAACUUUUUAUGUGGUGAAGGCCAGCCUGGAAGUAUGAUGCUUUCACUGGCAGACUGAGCCAGCUCCUUAACAGUCAGGAGGUAGACCUUCCUUCAAAAACACAUGAAUUUUGGUGUGGUCCUUGUUUUUAUGUUACUGAUUUCUAGGCUAGCUUACACAGCUGUUUAUAACAGUUCUGUUCAUCAAUGUUUUGUUUACUUAUUGCCUAUAAGCUUUUUAUAUAUGUGUUCCUAAAAGGAUUUUAGUGAGGUGCUAAGUUAGAGACAUGCUAUAUCUAGACUUCUACCUUCAGCUUAUCUGACUUGCCAGUAGAGUUGAGAAACUUAUCUAAUAUUUAAUGGGUGCCAGGUUUAAAAUGGAAGGCGGAUUUGAGAAAAGGCUGAAAAAAUAUUUAUAGUGCAGCCAAAGCAAUUAGAGAAGCCAGCAGAGACUGUAUUUCUCCUCUUAUUCAGGAAGAAUUUACUGCUUCUCCUUUGUCUAUCACUUUCGAAGAACUAUCGGAAGAAUAAUAUACUAAAAUAGUCACCUCUCAGUAAAAAUGCAGGAGGCAAAGGAACUAAAAUGGGUGGGGAUUGGCCAAAUAACUGUUAUUGUCACAAUUCUACUGUGCGCUUCUAAAAAAUGCGUUUAAAGAACAUGGCCUGUGAAAGAAUUGGAAUGGAGUGAAUAAUGGAAAAAUAUUCAGAAAUAUGCUAUUCAGAACAUUUAGUGUAUUCAUAAAUUAUUCACCCCCACAGAAGUGCAGGUGCCUCAGGAUUUUUGUGUGUAAUGUGACAUCCUCAGCUGGCGUACGCUGGCACUGCUGCAUUUGUUUUCAUGGAGGGAUGCCAGUUUACAAAAAUCUGCCCCACGUUAUACCUUUGUUUUGUACUCUUCUUAUUUU